GGGAUGUUAGUAAAGCAAUUACAUAGUUUUGUCAAAACUAAACCACAAGUGAAAACCUUGUACAUCCUA
RNAcentral lists this transfer RNA (69 nucleotides) under Chloroceryle aenea (American pygmy kingfisher). RNAcentral describes it as "tRNA-Asp". Lineage: Eukaryota; Metazoa; Chordata; Aves; Coraciiformes; Cerylidae. The record is from RNAcentral.